UGAUUAGCGGCGGACGGGUGAGUAAUGCCUAGGAAUCUGCCUAUUAGUGGGGGACAACGUUUCGAAAGGAACGCUAAUACCGCAUACGUCCUACGGGAGAAAGCAGGGGACCUUCGGGCCUUGCGCUAAUAGAUGAGCCUAGGUCGGAUUAGCUAGUUGGUGAGGUAAUGGCUCACCAAGGCGACGAUCCGUAACUGGUCUGAGAGGAUGAUCAGUCACACUGGAACUGAGACACGGUCCAGACUCCUACGGGAGGCAGCAGUGGGGAAUAUUGGACAAUGGGCGAAAGCCUGAUCCAGCCAUGCCGCGUGUGUGAAGAAGGUCUUCGGAUUGUAAAGCACUUUAAGUUGGGAGGAAGGGCAGUAAAUUAAUACUUUGCUGUUUUGACGUUACCGACAGAAUAAGCACCGGCUAACUCUGUGCCAGCAGCCGCGGUAAUACAGAGGGUGCAAGCGUUAAUCGGAAUUACUGGGCGUAAAGCGCGCGUAGGUGGUUUGUUAAGUUGGAUGUGAAAGCCCCGGGCUCAACCUGGGAACUGCAUCCAAAACUGGCAAGCUAGAGUACGGUAGAGGGUGGUGGAAUUUCCUGUGUAGCGGUGA
RNAcentral lists this ribosomal RNA (599 nucleotides) under Pseudomonas sp. EECC-159. Its description in RNAcentral is "bacterial SSU rRNA". It matches the Rfam family "Bacterial small subunit ribosomal RNA", at positions 89 to 684 of the family's 1533-position model. The record is from RNAcentral. Lineage: Bacteria; Pseudomonadati; Pseudomonadota; Gammaproteobacteria; Pseudomonadales; Pseudomonadaceae.